RNAcentral lists this ribosomal RNA (326 nucleotides) under uncultured Trichococcus sp. RNAcentral's name for it is "bacterial SSU rRNA". It matches the Rfam family "Bacterial small subunit ribosomal RNA", at positions 1179 to 1501 of the family's 1533-position model. Lineage: Bacteria; Bacillati; Bacillota; Bacilli; Lactobacillales; Carnobacteriaceae. The record is from RNAcentral.
AUGACGUCAAAUCAUCAUGCCCCUUAUGACCUGGGCUACACACGUGCUACAAUGGAUGGUACAACGAGCAGCAAGACCGCGAGGUCAAGCGAAUCUCUUAAAGCCAUUCUCCGUUCGGAUUGCAGGCUGCAACUCGCCUGCAUGAAGCCCGGAAUCGCUAGUAAUCGCGGAUCAGCACGCCCGCGGUGAAUACGUUCCCGGGUCUUGUACACACCGCCCGUCACACCACGAGAGUUUGUAACACCCGAAGUCGGUGAGGUAACCUUUUUGGAGCCAGCCGCCUAAGGUGGGACAGAUGAUUGGGGUGAAGUCGUAACAAGGUAACC